GCAACUCGACUCCAUGAAGUUGGAUUCGCUAGUAAUCGCGCAUCAGCCAUGGCGCGGUGAAUACGUUCCCGGGCCUUGUACACACCGCCCGUCAAGCCAUGGGAGUCGGGAGUGCCUGAAGUUCGUGACCGUAUAGGAGCGACCUAGGGCAAGACUGAUNACUGGGGCUAAGUCGUAACAAGGUAUC
RNAcentral lists this ribosomal RNA (187 nucleotides) under uncultured bacterium. RNAcentral's name for it is "partial 16S ribosomal RNA". It matches the Rfam family "Bacterial small subunit ribosomal RNA", at positions 1307 to 1500 of the family's 1533-position model. The record is from RNAcentral.